Molecule: ribosomal RNA, 497 nt
Filed under: uncultured bacterium
Lineage: Bacteria
Description: partial 16S ribosomal RNA
Rfam family: Bacterial small subunit ribosomal RNA
Source: RNAcentral
GAUGAACGCUGGCGGCGUGCCUAAUACAUGCGAGUCGAGCGAACGGACGAGAAGCUUGCUUUUCUGAUGUUAGCGGCGGACGGGUGAGUAACACGUGGAUAACCUACCUAUAAGACUGGGAUAACUUCGGGAAACCGGAGCUAAUACCGGAUAAUAUUUUGAACCGCAUGGUUCAAAAGUGAAAGACGGUCUUGCUGUCACUUAUAGAUGGAUCCGCGCUGCAUUAGCUAGUUGGUAAGGUAACGGCUUACCAAGGCAACGAUGCAUAGCCGACCUGAGAGGGUGAUCGGCCACACUGGAACUGAGACACGGUCCAGACACCUACGGGAGGCAGCAGUAGGGAAUCUUCCGCAAUGGGCGAAAGCCUGACGGAGCAACGCCGCGUGAGUGAUGAAGGUCUUCGGAUCGUAAAGCUCUGUUAUUAGGGAAGAACAUAUGUGUAAGUAACUGUGCACAUCCUGACGGUACCUAAUCAGAAAGCCACGGCUAACUACGUG